CAAUCUCUAAAUUUCAACAUUGUAAAAGAAACCAAACAAAUUAUUCAAAAUCUCACAGACUUCGUGGUAGCCGUGAAUUACACAAUGAACGAUUGUCAAACUUCAGAAAUACUCUCGACUUUUUUAAGACGUGCUGCGAAUUUGAUACCUGGUAUUAGCAACCCCAAAAUAUAUCACCAUGAGAGAGCUUAUAUUUUCAAUCAAUCGAUUCGUUAUCAAUGGAAUAUUACGGAGCAACAACUGUGUGACGUCCUCCGUGAAAUACAAACAGUAAAAAGCUUAACGAACACCCAAAACUCUGGAACGGAAGGCACACAAGCUACAGAUGACGUCAUAUCUAAUAUCCAAAACAGU
This is a long non-coding RNA of Ostrea edulis (European flat oyster), 354 nucleotides long. RefSeq lists it as uncharacterized. The record is from RefSeq and is a predicted model, not a curated record. The transcript is spliced from 3 exons. Lineage: Eukaryota; Metazoa; Mollusca; Bivalvia; Ostreida; Ostreidae.